RNAcentral lists this long non-coding RNA (9650 nucleotides) under Sus scrofa (pig). RNAcentral's name for it is "lncRNA (ENSSSCG00015055793.1)". Lineage: Eukaryota; Metazoa; Chordata; Mammalia; Artiodactyla; Suidae. The record is from RNAcentral.
UUUUUUUUUUUUUUUUUUUUUUGCUUUUUGCUUUUUAGGGCUGCACCUGAGGCAUAUGGAGGUUACCAGGCUAGGGGUCCAAUUGGAGCUGCAGCUGCCUGCCUAUACCACAGCCACAGCAACAUCAGAUCCAAGCCCUGUCUGGGACCUACACCACAGCUCAUGGAAAUGCCGAAUCCUUAACGCACUGAACGAGGCCAGGGAUGGAACCUAUAACCUCAUGGUUCCUAGUUGGAUUCAUUUCUACUGAGGCAAAUCAGGUACUCCCAUUUUAUUCUUAUUACGAAAAGAAAAUUCCUUUUACCUCUCUUAUGUUUCUUCCUCAAAUACUGUCAACAGUGUUAUUCACUGUGAAAUGAAAUAACCAAAAGCCAGGGGGAUCUUCCAAUUGAAAUACUGCACUGAAUAUUUAUCCUCUACCUAUUGUUUUUAAAAAUGAACUAUAGCAAGUAUCAAAGCAGUAGAGAUAAUAGCACAGAUGGUCAAAAAUAUUAGAAAACUGUACAAAAGAAUCUAUAAAUCAUACAAGAAAGAUCAAAUUGCUAAAAUGUGUCAUAUAUUUUCCCAAAAGAUUAUAUAUUUAAGAAAAAGUGUCUUGCAACGGAACUGAGAAAGAAGGAGGCUACAUUUAAUGUUACAGCAUUUAGAAAUUAUUCAAAAAAUGGUUGGAAAUAGCACUGAGAGCAGAAUGCUCAAAGAAUAGGAUAAGAGAGAAGAAAACAUUGCUAUAUCCUUCUGCCUUGUCUAUUCCCCUUACUUCUUCCUGUAAUGACUUUAAUCCAAGUAUUUCUUACGAGUCUGCCUUGUCCACACUCCUCUUCACUUGAUCUUAGUGCUUAGACUUUUUUUUUUUUUUUUUGGCAAAAACUACGCCAAAAUAUGCUACUGAGUUUAGCAGCCAAAACCCUGAUGUUUACUUUGGUAAAUGUAGAUUACUCUGAAGCUGUACCUUAUUUUAUGCAGUAGAUUUCUGAAAAAGUUACAUGUAAUUUCCAUAAAUAAAGUAUUUUAAGGGAAAAGGUGGGUUAUUUCCUUCUUCAAUGAAUUUUUUAAUAAAGUGAAGAAUUCUCUGGUAAGGCAAAUAAUCAUUCUUCAAAUAAUAUCACAGCGCCCCUCCCCAAAUCAGAUUUGCCAGAGAUGAGUUCUACUACUAUAAUAUGAUGGACAGUCUGAGUAAGGUCUCACUACAAAGAUAAUUUAGAAGAAUUUCUUGGUCAGGCAUUCAUUAUUCUAAUUAUUGCUAGUCACCUUAUUUUACGUGGUCCGAGACCAAAAGGUCAUGGUAUGAUUUUGACAAUCUAUGCAUAAUUUACACGUUAGGGUCUGGUUCAGAAUAGGACUAUAACUUUAUGAAGUCACCUUUGAAUAUGAAAUAUCAUUUUUUAAUAAAUUUGUUUCAGGGGGAAAAACUAGCAUACGCUCCUACCCUCUUACUUAUACCUCCCUCCCCUACAACAAAAGAAUUUUUUUUUUAAAGAAAAGGUAAUGAAUAAAUGCUAUGUUUCCCAUGAUAAAGGGGAAAAAAAGCCUAGAAAGAUAUGAAACACACUAAUAUUAACAGGAUAACAUACCUAUGAUACUUUCAAAAUGACAAGGCUUGAUUUUAAAAAUUGAUCUUUAACAAGAAAAAGAAAUAUGGGCAAUUAGGAAGUAAUGAAGACCCUGUCAAUAUAGCUAUGUUGAUAAUAACAGGUAAGGGAAUUCUUGAGAAAAUCUAAUAUAUAAAAAUCAGGAGGUCUGUAAUAUGCAUUAUUGAGUCCCAGUGGGAUUAACUAAUGAAUUUAUAAGCUCACCAGCAGUUAUUUUUAGAAAGUUAUAAAGAAUUAGAGAAAUAUUAGAGCAUGGAAAAAUAAUGUGCCUUCUAAAAAGAAAGAAAAUAUAUAUUACUACUAAAAUUCAUUUUAAAAUGAAUUCUAGAGGUUCUAAGGAGAAUAUCAUUAAAAAUAUAUAAAAAUUUAUCAGUAUUUGAACAGGGAAGGGCUUCUAAUGGAGACACUCUAAGUUAGAAGGUACAGGUGAGACUCAGCUACACUGAGUGUAGCUAUACUCAGCUACUCUCUGAAGUGGGGUAGGGUGUUUGUUGAGGGAAAUGCCAAAAGCAGCUCAGUAAACAUGCUGCAUGGUCUGGUUAAAUUACUUGUGUUAAGAUACAGGUAAGUCUCUGUCCACUGCUAACACUGUGCAUACUGUUAAAGCUGAGACUGAGUUGAGACCCUAAAGGCAAGUUGUCAAGCUUGACCAGAGAUAAGAGGCUGAAAAAAAGACAAAAAAUUAGUGGUUGAAACAUUUGUAGCCCCUGGGGAAGACUGUCCUUUCCUCCAGCUUUGUUUUUGUAUUUCUCAUCUAUGGAAGAGGAGUUGAGGAGUGGUCUGGGAAUGGACAGCUUAAGAACCAAGGCGAAAACGUUGAGAAGUAAACCAGUCUUAGGCAGAGUAGAGAACCUGUAGGAGCUGUGGGUCUCUGACAUCAAACCUGGCAGACCUCUCCAAAGAAACUUCUCCUAACCAAUAAAAAAAUGGAUGCAUUUUAUUGCUUCCAGUUGCCUAUCAAACCCAGAUAGCUGGUGUAGAAGUGCUUUCUUUGGUUUUAAUUCUUGUCUCACCUACUCCUCUUAGCAUUGCCGUUAAGGCCUGGCCUCCAGGGAUACAUGUUUCCCUUUAAAAUUUGAACCCAGGUAUGGGCAAAAUUUCUCUUUUUCUAGUUUUCUAGUUUCUUUGUCAUUUUCACAAGUAACUUUACAGAAAGAUGGUAAGAGCAAAGAAAUCUAAACAAGAAAUGCAGAGUCGGAGUUCCCGUCGUGGCGCAUUGUGGAUUCUAUUCUAAAGGAUAUAUUUUGUGGGUGGUUUUUCCAGAGGUCGUGUGAGUGAGUAAUUUAUACAUUCACACAUGUAUUCAUUGUGUGCCAGGGACUAUUUCUUUGGGCUGGGGAUGCAGUGGUGAGCAAGAUACAUAAAGACUCUCCUCUUGUAGCAUACAUGUGGGUGAGGAUGGCAGGCAAUCAACAGGUAAAACAAUCGACAUGAUAAUUUCAGAGUCAGAUGCACUGUGAAGAAAACACAAAAGGGGGACGUGAAGAGAAAGAGAAGGAGAGGUGGUCAUCAAUUUUGCCCAGAUGGAGAAGACUUAUGACCUGAGACCAGAAGGGAAUGGAGCCAGGAGAGUGCCACAGGCAGAGUUCUGGAAGAACAGGGGCAGGGAGGGGCUCUGAGGAGGAAAAUGCUGGUCACAGGGAACCAGCUCAUUGGGACCAGCUCAUUGGUCAAAGCUGGAUGCCUGGAGUAUGGUGGCUGAGGGAGAAAGUGGUAGAAGAUGAUUCAGAGAGGUGGGCAGCCUCACUACGUGAGGUCUCUCAAGCUAGAGUGAAACAUUUUAAUUUUAUUCCAAGUACAAUGGAAGAGCUGUCUGCAGAGUUUUUGCAGAGGAGAAAUAUAAUUUGACUGCAUAUAAAAAAGAGUACACUGGUUGGAAAAUGGAGAAUGGAUUAUGGAGAGUUGGAUGAUGGAUUUAACCCUUCCUGAUUGCAUUUAUCAAUUCCUCCCACCUCUAGAUCAUUCUCUGGGGCUCAUUCUUCUCCUGCGCACUUCAGAGUAUAAAACCCACCUACUGCUAGUUCACAUAAAUAAAGUGAGUAAUAGUAGGAUGUAAUAUUAAUAUGCAGUAGGAACUGAAAGACAGCCUAAUGAAAUAAUAUUUCAGAGUAGUGGAGAAAAAAAAUGGAGUUGAACUAGAAAUAGCAUUCUCCUAACAAUUCUGCUUUUGGUAUAUAUGCUGAUACCUCUGGUUUCUUGGCCCUUUGGACUAUGGGAAGGUACUCUGCUGUCACAGUGUUCCAUUUCUGCAAGGCAGAAAGUAACUGGUGGACUUACUAGCCAGGUAGGUGUUUCUACUUUCUUCAUUUCCUUGAAUAGACACAACAUUCUCUCAGUUACUUUAGCUCAAAACUGCUAGGUCAUCUUUGAUUUUGUGGCCUCCUGAUCCCAUCACUUACCAAAUCCUGACAAUUACACCUCAGCAAAGUUUUUCCAAUCUCUUUUUUUCCCCCAUUCCAUUCCCCUGUUACCACCUUUUACUUUAUUUAUUGACCUGUCAUUUAGAAUCCAGAAACUGCCUGCUAACUCAUUUCACUGCCUUCAACCUCUUUUCUAUCCUGUACUUUGCUACCAGAUGAAAAAUUCUAAAGUAUCAUUUGUGUCAUAGACCUCUUUCUAGAUAAGCAUAUCCAAUGGUCUCCAUUAUCUAUCAAAUUAAGUAGAAAUUCCUUCAUGUGGUUUAAAGCCCUUCAUUCCUUGGAUCCAGCCUUCUUUUCUGGGUAAUCUGUCAACUGUUCUUCUGUAAGUAUUCCCUAUUUUCCUAGACCCAGGUCAAUUGACAAUUUUUAAACCUUUUCAAAAUCUCAGGGACUGGACAUCUGUGAUCCUGAGGUCCAGCCAGAGAAGAGGUUGAUCACUACUGCAAAGUUUUUGAAGGCAGGGGUCAAACUUAACUCAUCAAUACAGAUGGAUAAACGUACCCUAUGUUGAACUGCAUGCUAGCUUUCAGAGUGAAGAAAUAAAUUCCUCUAACAAUUAUAAUUUUCCAGACAACAAAUUAAUACCACACACACACAGACACACACAAAUAAAUUCCUCUCAAAUUGGAAUAUCAUGACAGUUAGAUACUUUAUAAGUAAAACUGAAGGAAGUAGAGUCUUCUCCUUGCCCUCUCCAACAAACUGAUGAGGUAGACUCAGGUGAUCCACUAUCCAUGAGCAACUAGUUGAUAAGCACUGACAAAUAACUCAAAGUAUUUUCCAGAUCUCUUUGGCUAAAAUGCAGUGCUUAUCUAACACAUACAAUAUACUAGCAUCAGAAGAUAUUAAGUAAAGUUUAAGAACUGAAAACUCUGAGAGUCAAACUUUAACUGUUCAAGAGCUUAUAUUCCCAAGAUGUGGUUGGCUUGGUUCAAGUUUAGAUGCAGAUAGAAACAUAUCAAAUAUAAGAUAGUAAAGAGAUGGAAAGGACCCAAGAUAAAAUUUCAUCCAACAGUUUCAUUUCACAAGUGAGAAAUCUAAAGUCCAGAGCAGCUGUGAUGGGCCACAGAUACACAGACAUUUUGCUUAAAUAUAGUUAAUAUUUAGAAAGUGAUUAAGCAUUAUAAGAGUAAAAUUUUCAGAAGAUAUACAUCUAAUUGCUUUAAGAUCCAGUUCAAUAUUUACUUCCUCUAAUAAGCCUUCUUUGAUUAACCUCAGCCCAUAGGUUAAAACAACUACUCCCUGUCUUCACGUUUCAGUGUUUUGUAUAUAGUGUAUACUAUAUUAUUAUAUACUUGAUGGAAAACAUCUUGGUUUAUCCCUAAAUAAUUUGAGGGUAAUGCCUCAAAAUUUUUAUUCCUGAAAGUCACAGCUGAGGCUUAAUAAAUGUUUGCUAUAAGAAAACCUGUCCAGGACAGAAACCACCAGAAAAAUGAUGCUUAUUAAGUGCUAUUACAAUAUAAUAAAGCAUAGAUUCGUAGAUUUUUCUAUGAUUUUUACACUAUUUUGAUGAUAGUCUUCAUUUUGAUAUUAAGAAAAAUGAAGCAUACAGACGAUCACGGCAGUAAAAACUAGUGAAUUUACAAAGCUAAGUGCUACUGGUGUGGAAUACAUAGGUGAAUCAUUGUAUAAAACUUUAUAUACAUAGCAUCAUUUUAUAUUGCUGUAUCAGACCUUUGCUGAGCAGCCAAUAGAAGCAGUAAGUGGAGGAUGGAUGAGGUGAUAAGCAGCCAUUAUGGAUUGCCCCAAUCACUUAAUGAUUUGGAAAUGUACUAACGCCUAUAUAGGCCAGUUUGGGGAGAACUAAUGUUUACAAUGCUGAGUCUUGCAAAUUAAUGAAUGUGAUGUAUCUUGCCACUUCUUUAAUGCCUCUCAAUGAAAUUUUAUCACUUUUUCUAUAGAGGAUUUGUACUUCAUUUUUAGAUUCAUUCGUUCAUUUAUAAUUACAUUUUUUAUUUUGAGAUAAUUAUAGAUUCAGUUGAAAGAAAUAACACAAAUGGAUCCUGUGUCCCUUUCAUAAUUUUCCUCAACAGGAACACCUUGUAAGACCAUAUGACAAUCAAGAUGUUAACAUGAUACAGUUAAGAUGCACAGCAUUUCCAUCACCACAAAGAUCACUCAUGUUUCCCUAUAGCCACAUCCACUUCUCUUCCAUCCCCUCCUUAACCCCUAGCAGCCACUAAUCUGUUCUUCAUUUCUGAAAUUUUGGCAUUCUAAGCAUGUUAUAUAAAUGGAAUCAUACAAAUAUGUAACCUCAUGAGAUUGGCUUUUUUCUUUUUUUGGCUGCACCCACAGCAUAUGCAAACUCCCAGGCCAGGGAAUGAAUCUGAGCCAUAGCUAUGGCAACACUGAAUCCUUAACCCACUGUGUUGGGACAGGGAUUCAACCUGUGCCUUGGCAGUGAUUUGAACCACUGCAGUUGUGCCACUGUGCCACAGGGGUAACUCUGGGAUUGGCUUUUGAAAUUCAGCUUAAUUUUCUGGAGAUUUGUCCAGGUUGUUGUGUAAGUCAAUAAUUAGUUCCUUUUUAUUGCUGAGUAGCAUUCCAUGAUAUGGAUGUACCACAGUUUGUUUAACCAUUCCUGUCUCAAAGGAUAUCUGGGUUGUUUUCAGUUUUUUGGCUAUUAUAAAUAAAGCUGCUGUAAACAUUCAUGUAUAAAUUUUUAUGUGAAAUAAUUUUUAUUUUUCUGGGAUAAAUGUCCAAGAGUGCAGUUGCUGGGCUCUAUGUUACUUGCAUGUUUUGUUUUACAAGAAACUGCCACACUGUUUGUCAGAGUCAUAUCCUUCCAGCAAUGUGUGAGUGAUCUAGUUUCUCUGUAUCUCUUCCAGUAAUUUUUUUUUAAUUUUUAUUUAAUGGCCUUGCCUGUGGCAUUUGGAAAUUCGCGGGCCAGGGACUGAAUCUGAGCCACUGCUGUGACCUACCACACAUGCGGGCAAUGCCAGCUCCUUUAACUCACUGUGCCAGGCCAGGGAUUGAACUCCAGCCUCUGCAGCGACCUGUCAGAUUCUUAACCCCACUGAGCCACAGCUGGAACUCCCAGCCAGUAAUGUAUUAAAAUAGGAUAGACUGAUUCCUCUUACUUUAUUCUUUCUUCAAAAUUGUUUUAAGUAUUUUAGUUCUUUUAACUUUUAUAUAAAUUUUAGAAUAAACUUGUCGAUAUCUAUUGUACAGUAACAAAUUGACCUUGCCCUGAAAGGUUUCAGCUGGAACUCUGGAGUAUCUGGAGAUUAAAGUUAGCCAUGCAGGAGUUCUUGUUGUGGCUCAGUGGGUUAAGAAUCCAAUAUAGUGUCUGUGAGGAUGUGGGUUUGAUCCCUGGCCUCGCUCAGUGCUUUAAGGAUCCUGCAUUGCCAUGAGCUAUGGUGGAGGUUACAGAUGUUGCUUGGAUCCUGUGUUGCUGUGGCCGUUGUGUAGGCUGGCAGCUACAGCUCUGAUUCAGCCACUAGCCUGGGAACUUCCAUAUGCUAAGGGUGUGGCUCUAAAAACGAAAAAAGGUUCAGGUGAAUUUCCCCAGUUUGCACUAUAGUGUGUGUAUUCUCAUCCAAUGUUGCUGGGAGAAGACAGCACUGUGCAUUACUUGACUGGAAGUGAACAACUGGAAAUUCAUCCUUGGAACCUUCCUGGACUCUGCCCUAUGUACGUUUCCUUGCUGAUUUUAGACUAUAUCCUUUUGCUGUACUAGACUGUCACCAUGAACAUAAUAGCUUUCAGGAAGUUCUGAGUCCUUCUGGCAAAUGAUCGCACCUAGAGAUGAUCUUAGGGACACCUGCUUGUGGUAGGUAUGAGAAGUGAGGGUGGUCUUGGAGACUUCAGAAGGUUAUAUCUACAAAAAACCUUGCUGGAAUUUUGACAGAAAUUUUGUUAAAUUUGUAUGUCAACUGGGGAGAAAUGGCAUCUUUACUAUAUUCAGUGAGUAAAUCUAUGAAUAUGACAUGUUUGUUAAUGCUACUAUAAAUGGGUAUUUAACUGCCUGUUGUUGGUAUACAGAAAUGCAACUGACUUCUGUAUAACAAUUUUGUAUCCAGCAACCUUGCUAAAUUGUCCUUGUCCUCCUAAGAAUUUAUCUGUAGAUUUUGAAUUUUCUACAUAAAUGAUUAUAUCACACGUGAAUAAUUUCAGGUUUUUUCUUUUCUAAUUCUUAUAGCUUUUAUUUCUUCCAGUCAUAAAUUUUAGAAAACUUUGAACUAUAAACAACACAGCUGCAAAUGUAACUAAUGAGAUGAAUAAAAUAUAAAGCAAAUUAUUAUGAAUAACAUGAAUAUGGCAUAAGAUUACUACAUUUUCUAUUUUGAUUGAUUUCUUGAUGAUGCACUUAAAAAAAAAAGACAGUGAAAAAAGAAAAAGUUUUGUCAGGUAAUGUCAUCUAGUUGCUGACUGCUGGUCAUGAAAGCUCCCUGUCAUUUUAUGACAGAUACUGACAGCUUCUGGAGGAUCACUUUGCUCCUAAUACUGUGACUUCUUUUCAUUCUAGUUAAGGUAAUGUAGAAACAGACUAUUUUUGUUACAUUCAGUCUAGAGUUACCCUCACCUGUCUGGUACUACUUAAAUUUCAUUCCCAGUACGCUCCCCCAAGGCAUUUCCUCUCUGAAUGUCCUUUUCUUUAAAAAAAAAAAGAUCCCAUAAUGCAACUGCCGUCUACAUAGGAAGAAUCCUUAAAGGAUUCUGAACGUCUUUCUAUAACACCAUUAAUACAUAUAGAAUAACAUCUUUCAUUAAGAUAAUAAUGAACUGAUUUUAAAUUAAAUACAUAUAUUCUCAAAUAUGUCAUGUAAACAUAGUAAAUGCCUACUAUUUACUAAUUUAGAAAAUGUCAUGGGAACAUAUUAGAUAGGACUGAUUACUUAGGUACCGGAUAAUAUUUUAGAGUAUUAGCUUAAUUCAUGAGCACUUAAAUUAAGUUUAACUAUGGACUGAUUUAUGAUAACAUAGAAUAUAAACAGAUAUGACUAAACAAUUACCAGAAAAGUUUAUGAAAAUUAUUUACAAUUAUAAUCCUUACUGCAUCUAUACUAAAUUUUAUUCUAAAAAGACUUUUUUGGGGGGUCUUUUUAGGGCUGCACCCACAGCAUAUGGAGGUUCCCAGGAUAGGGGUCUAAUCAGAUCUGUAGCUGCCGGCCUAUGCCACAGCCACAGAAACGCCAUAUCUGAGCUGCAUUUGUGACCUUCACCACAACUGGUGGUAACACCCGAUCCUUGAGCUGCUGAGCAGGGCUAGGGAUCGAACUCGCAACCUCAUGAUUCCUAGUUGGAUUCAUUUCCGCUGCACCAUGAUGGGAACUCCUAAAAAGACACUUCAAAACUCUAACUGGACUUUCCACAUAGGCUUUUCUGUAACUGUCCAGAAGAUUCAUAGGCAGAAAUAUUUCACGAUUGCUCAAGGAAUUAAAAUUUCCUUUCUAGGAGUUUCCCAUUGUGGCUCAUUGGGUCAUGAAUCCAUGAGGAUGUGGGUGUGAUCCCUGGCCUCCCUCACUGGGUUAAGGGAUGUGGCAUUGCUGUGAGCUGUGGUGCAGGCUACAGAUGAGGCUGGGAUCUUGUAUUGCUGUGGUUGUGGUAUAGGCUGGCAGCUGCAGCUCCAGCUUGACCCCUAGCCUGGGAACUUCCAUAUGCCACAGGAGCAACCAUUAAAAAAAAAAAAAAAAAAAAA